RNAcentral lists this ribosomal RNA (229 nucleotides) under uncultured bacterium. Its description in RNAcentral is "partial 16S ribosomal RNA". It matches the Rfam family "Bacterial small subunit ribosomal RNA", at positions 568 to 796 of the family's 1533-position model. The record is from RNAcentral.
UGCGUAUGCGGAAUAUUAAGUCAGUGGUGAAAUCCUGCGGCUCAACCGUAGAACUGCCAUUGAUACUGAUAUUCUUGAAUGUAGUUGAGGUAGGCGGAAUGCGUAAUGUAGCGGUGAAAUGCUUAGAUAUUACACAGAACACCGAUUGCGAAGGCAGCUUACUAAACUAUGAUUGACGCUGAGGCACGAAAGCGUGGGGAGCGAACAGGAUUAGAUACCCUGGUAGUCC